CAGCAGGCGCGAAAACUUUACACUACACGAAAGUGUGAUAAGGGGAUUCUACGUGCUCUACACAGUAUGGGCUUUUGCCGAGAGCAAAAAUCUCGGAGAAUAAGUGGUGGGCAAGACUGGUGCCAGCCGCCGCGGUAACACCAGCGUCACAAGUGGGAAUCACAGUUAUUGGGCCUAAAGCGUUCGUAGCCGGUUGUUAAAUCUCUUGUGAAAUCGUGACGCUUAACUUACGGCAUGCAGGAGAGACUGGCAGACUUGAGACCGGGAGGAGUCGGAGGUAUGCUUGGGGGAGCAGUAAAAUGCUAUAAUCCCUUGUAGACCACCGGUGGCGAAGGCGUCCGACCAGAACGGCUCUGACGGUGAGGAACGAAAGCUAGGGGAGCAAUCCGGAUUAGAUACCCGAGUAGUCCUAGCCGUAAACGCUGCGAGCAAGGUGUUGCACAUUCUCCGUGAAUGUGCAGUGUCGAAACGAAGGUGUUAAGCUCGCCGCCUGGGGAGUACGGUCGCAAGACUGAAACUUAA
Molecule: ribosomal RNA, 522 nt
Filed under: uncultured euryarchaeote
Lineage: Archaea; Methanobacteriati; Methanobacteriota
Description: bacterial SSU rRNA
Rfam family: Archaeal small subunit ribosomal RNA
Source: RNAcentral